GACGAACGCUGGCGGCGUGCUUAACACAUGCAAGUCGAACGGAAAGGCCCUGCUUUUGUGGGGUGCUCGAGUGGCGAACGGGUGAGUAACACGUGAGUAACCUGCCCUUGACUUUGGGAUAACUUCAGGAAACUGGGGCUAAUAUCGGAUAGGAGCUCCUGCUGCAUGGUGGGGGUUGGAAAGUUUCGGCGGUUGGGGAUGGACUCGCGGCUUAUCAGCUUGUUGGUGGGGUAGUGGCUUACCAAGGCUUUGACGGGUAGCCGGCCUGAGAGGGUGACCGGCCACAUUGGGACUGAGAUACGGACCAGACUCCUACGGGAGGCAGCAGUGGAGAAUAUUGCACAAUGGGCGGAAGCCUGAUGCAGCAACGCCGCGUGCGGGAUGACGGCCUUCGGGUUGUAAACCGCUUUCGCCUGUGACGAAGCGUGAGUGACGGUAAUGGGUAAAGAAGCACCGGCUAACUACGUG
Molecule: ribosomal RNA, 468 nt
Filed under: uncultured bacterium
Lineage: Bacteria
Description: partial 16S ribosomal RNA
Rfam family: Bacterial small subunit ribosomal RNA
Source: RNAcentral